UACGGAGGAUCCGAGCGUUAUCCGGAUUUAUUGGGUUUAAAGGGUGCGCAGGCGGAAGAUUAAGUCGGUGGUGAAAUUUUGCAGCUCAACUGUAAAAGUGCCUUCGAAACUGGUUUCCUUGAGUGUAGAUGAAGUAGGCGGAAUUUGUGGUGUAGCAGUGAAAUGCAUAGAUAUCACGAGGAACUCCGAUUGCGCAGGCAGCUUACUAAACUACUACUGACGCUCAGGCACGAAGGCGUGGGGAUCAAACAGGAUUAGAUACCCGGGUAGU
This 271-nucleotide ribosomal RNA is filed under the name uncultured prokaryote. RNAcentral's name for it is "partial 16S ribosomal RNA". It matches the Rfam family "Bacterial small subunit ribosomal RNA", at positions 524 to 794 of the family's 1533-position model. The record is from RNAcentral.